GAUGAACGCUGGCGGCGUGCCUAAUACAUGCAAGUCGAGCGAACAGACGAGGAGCUUGCUCCUCUGACGUUAGCGGCGGACGGGUGAGUAACACGUGGAUAACCUACCUAUAAGACUGGGAUAACUUCGGGAAACCGGAGCUAAUACCGGAUAAUAUAUUGAACCGCAUGGUUCAAUAGUGAAAGACGGUUUUGCUGUCACUUAUAGAUGGAUCCGCGCCGCAUUAGCUAGUUGGUAAGGUAACGGCUUACCAAGGCAACGAUGCGUAGCCGACCUGAGAGGGUGAUCGGCCACACUGGAACUGAGACACGGUCCAGACUCCUACGGGAGGUAGCAGUAGGGAAUCUUCCGCAAUGGGCGAAAGCCUGACGGAGCAACGCCGCGUGAGUGAUGAAGGUCUUCGGAUCGUAAAACUCUGUUAUUAGGGAAGAACAAAUGUGUAAGUAACUAUGCACGCCUUGACGGUACCUAAUCAGAAAGCCACGGCUAACUACGUG
This 497-nucleotide ribosomal RNA is filed under the name uncultured bacterium. Its description in RNAcentral is "partial 16S ribosomal RNA". It matches the Rfam family "Bacterial small subunit ribosomal RNA", at positions 28 to 507 of the family's 1533-position model. The record is from RNAcentral.